RNAcentral lists this transfer RNA (75 nucleotides) under Lentisphaerota bacterium. Its description in RNAcentral is "Lentisphaerae bacterium tRNA-Asn". It matches the Rfam family "tRNA". Rfam says of the family: Transfer RNA (tRNA) molecules are approximately 80 nucleotides in length. Their secondary structure includes four short double-helical elements and three loops (D, anti-codon, and T loops). The record is from RNAcentral. RNAcentral also lists the same sequence under 3 other names. Lineage: Bacteria; Pseudomonadati; Lentisphaerota.
UCCGGCAUAGCUCAGCGGUAGAGUAGGUGGCUGUUAACCACUUGGUCGUAGGUUCGAAUCCUACUGCCGGAGCCA